AUAACGGUCCUAAGGUAGCGAAAUUCCUUGUCAGGUAAGUUCUGACCCGCACGAAAGGCGUAAUGAUUUGAACACUGUCUCAACAAUGUACCCGGCGAAAUUGUAGUACUAGUGAAGAUGCUAGUUACCUGCGACAAGACAGAAAGACCCCAUGGAGCUUUACUGCAGCUUGAUACUGGGUUUUGGUAAUUUAUGUACAGGAUAGGUGGGAUACUAAGAAGCAAGUGCGCCAGCAUUUGUGGAGUAGACGUUGGGAUACCACUCUUAAAUUAUUGAAAUUCUAACCUGUGAUCAUGAACUGGUCAGGGGACAAUGUCAGGCGGGCAGUUUGACUGGGGCGGUCGCCUCCUAAAGAGUAACGGAGGCGCCCAAAGGUUUCCUCAGCACGGACAGAAAUCGUGCGAAAGAGUGUAAAGGCAGAAGGAAGCUUAACUGGGAGACUGACAAGUCGAGCAGAUACGAAAGUAGGGCUUAGUGAUCCGGCGGUAGUGAGUGGAAAUGCCGUCGCUCAACGGACAAAAGUUACCCUGGGGAUAACAGGCUUAUCUCCCCCAAGAGUUCACAUCGACGGGGAGGUUUGGCACCUCGAUGUCGGCUCAUCGCAUCCUGGGGCUGAAGUAGGUCCCAAGGGUUGGGCUGUUCGCCCAUUAAAGCGGUACGCGAGCUGGGUUCAGAACGUCGUGAGACAGUUCGGUCCUUAUCUGUCGCAGGCGUAGGAUAUUUGAAGGGAGCUGUCCUUAGUACGAGAGGACCAGGAUGGACAUACCGAUGGUGUAUCAGUUGUCACACCAGUGGCACGGCUGAGUAGCUAAGUAUGGAAGGGAUAAACGCUGAAAGCAUCUAAGUGUGAAGCCCACCUUAAGAUAAGAUAUCCCAUUGCGUAAGCAAGUAAGAUCCCAUGAAGACUACAUGGUAGAUAGGUUGGGGGUGUAAGUACAGUAAUGUAUUAAGCUGACCAAUACUAAUAGAUCGAGGGCUUAACCAC
RNAcentral lists this ribosomal RNA (985 nucleotides) under human gut metagenome. RNAcentral's name for it is "bacterial LSU rRNA". It matches the Rfam family "Bacterial large subunit ribosomal RNA", at positions 1942 to 2925 of the family's 2925-position model. The record is from RNAcentral.